Molecule: long non-coding RNA, 2444 nt
Organism: Equus caballus (horse)
Lineage: Eukaryota; Metazoa; Chordata; Mammalia; Perissodactyla; Equidae
Source: Ensembl
CCCAGGAACCCGCUCCCCUUGCUGCUCUGGGCUCUGGGGCCACAUAGGGAGGCAGCCUGCAGGGCCCCUGCCCCAGAGAAAGGCUGCCUGGAGGAUUAACAUUCAGCCCAGGGACCGGCCGGUGGCGCAGCAGUUAAGCGUGCGCUUUUCGCUUCGGUGGCCCCGGGUUCGCCGGUUCGGAUCCCGGGUCCGGACAUGGCACCGCUUGGCACACCAUGCUGUGGAGACCCCAGAGGGCUCUCUUGCCCCUUCUGCCAUGUGAGGACACAGCGAGAAGAUGGCUGUCUGUGAACCAGGAAGUGGACCCUCACCAGACACGGAAUGCACUGGAGUCCUGCUCUUGGACUUCCCAGCCUGGAGAACUGUGAGAGACGAAUGCAGCUUGACUAGCCCUGAGCUAACAUCUGCUGCCAAUCCUCCUCUUCUUGCUGAGGAAGACUGGCCCUGAGCUAACAUCCAUGCCCAUCUUCCUCUACUUUCUAUGUGGGAUGCCUACCACAGCAUGGCUUGCCAAGUGGUGCCAUGUUUAUACCUGGGAUCCGAACCCGUGAACCCCCGGACACUGAAGCAGAAUGUGUGCACUCAACUGCUGCGUCCCCGGGCCGGCCACACAUUUAUUCUUAAAUAGUGAGUUAAGGAUGAGAACUGCUAAAUCGUUGCGUGUGCUGCAUGUUCAACUCUAUUAGGCAAGGCUAGACUAUUUUCCAAGGAGACUGAACCAAUCUUUACUCCCACCCAUAAUGCAUGAGCAUCCCCACAGAGCCAUACAUCCUUGCCAAAUGUGCAACUGUUCAACUUUAUAAUUUUUCCAAGCUAGUGGGAAUAAAAUUCCAACUCAUUGUGACUUUAAUUUACAUCUCUCUGAUUACUAAUGAGAUUGGAUAUCUGUCUUGUUUUUAUCUUCUAUAUCCGUAGUGAUUAUUAUUUUAUCCUUGAUAUAUUAGUCAUUGAAAGAGUUGUGAUAAAAUCUCUAAUUAUGAUAAUGGGUUUAAUUUCUCCUUGUUUUGCUUUGUAUAUUUUGGGUUAUGUUACCAGGUGCAUAAGAGUUUAGAAUUGCUGCGUCUUCUUGGAGUUAUAUAUUCCUUCUCUGUUUCUAAUAAUGCUUUUGCCUUGAAGCCUAGUUUGUCUGUUAUUAACAGAGUGAUAAAUCCUUUUUUUUUUUUUUUUGAGGAAGAUUAGCCCUGAGCUAACUGCUGCCAAUCCUCCUCUUUUUGCUGAGGAAGACUGGCCCUGAGCUAACAUCCAUGCCCAUCCUCCUCUACUUUAUAUGUGGGACACCUGCCACAGCAUGGCUUUUGCCAAGUGGGGCCAUGUCCGCACCCAGGAUCCGAACCAGCGAACCCCGGGCCACCGAAGCGGAACUUGUGCACUUAACCGCUGUGCCACCGGGCCGGCCCCUGAUAAAGCUUUUGAUUUUGAUCUUUUUCCAGAUAAAGAAGGACAAUUUAUAUUUGUCUCCCUCUCUUCCUCUUAGUUGGGUCAAAUCACUUCUAAACUACCAGUUGGCCUUUGUGAGAGGUGACUUGAUUUCUUAUUUUAAAACUAUUUAUAUUAUGGAAACUUUUCAAUAUAGACAAAACUACAGAACCAUAUAAAAUGAACCCCCACGUACCCAUCAACCAGCUCAGAUAUACACCAAAUCAAUAUAUUUAUCUCCAUUUGUUCUCCCAUCCAAUAGUAUUUUGAAGAAGCUCUCAUCCGUCAUAUAAAUUAAUCCCUAAAUAUUUAAGAAGUAUCUCUAAAAGAAAAGGACUAAAAAGAAACCCAAUUCCCAUUACUGUCCUAUAACAAUAAUUUCCUAGCAUCAUCAAGUGUCAUCUUUUACAAUUUGCUUGUUUGAGUGAGGAUCUAAAUAAGGCCUGUGAGAGUGUAUAAUUGGCCAACGUCUCUUAAGUCUCGUUCAGACUACAUUUAUAUUAGUACAGGCUCCUACUCUUUCUCUUUUAUUUUCCUUGCAAUUUGAUGAAGAAACCAGGUCCUUUGUCCUUCAUAUAAAAAUAUUUUAUUUGAUGGGAUUAUAUAGAUAAUAUUCUUUAGCAAUAUAUGUUGGCCGUCUUUCCUCUUAGUACCUAUAAGUCAAUUUUUGGUUUUUAGCUGGUGCACAGAACUCCAUAGUUACUAUUUUUUAAAAUGUCUUAUCUCCUCUACUUACCUACAUGAGCCUUGGAGGAGAUAAUUCACUCAGCAAACAUUUAAUGAGCACCUAGUCUCUGCUAGGCCCCAUGCCCGAUCCUGAGAGCUGUAGUAGGAAUAAGCCAGACAGGUUCCCGAAGCUUCAACUCAGACUUUCAUGGUCUGCAGCAUGUUUGAAGAGACCUUGUUAAAUGCAGGUCCCAGGGCCCCCUCCCAGACGGGCUGUCUCUCUCGUCUAGCACUGUCCUGUACAAAUGCGUGUCAAUUUACAUUUUCUAGUAAUUAUGUAAAAAGAUAAAAAGAAACAGGUG